UUCUUCACUGCAACCCCUGUCUCACAGAUUUCCUCGUUGUUUUGAAAAAAGAUUGAGGAGUGCCCACUACCUUCCUCCCAUGAACUUUACAUGAUGGUCAACUUCUGUAAGUUCUUGUAAUAGAGGACGGAUUGAAAGAGACAGGAAGAAUAAUCUAGAAAGAGCUUCCCAGUUGGAGGCAGUGCUUAUGCGAUCCCCACCUCCCAGCUGAGGAAACGGAAUAAGACAGUUGCUGCUCUCACAAGAUGCACAGCCGGGCGGGCCAGCCAGAGAAGUGGUGACGAUUAAUAACGCGAGCAGGAGCACACUCUCGUAAAACUGCACAGAGCCAUCAUCACGCUCCUGGGCCAAGGAAAGAGGAGAUUCUUGAUUUCUCAGCAGCAUUGCACAGACAGAGUCUUGCUUUGUUGCCC
Microcebus murinus (gray mouse lemur) is the source of this 413-nucleotide non-coding RNA. The record is from RefSeq and is a predicted model, not a curated record. Lineage: Eukaryota; Metazoa; Chordata; Mammalia; Primates; Cheirogaleidae.